CGGGGUGUAGCUCAAUUGGCAGAGCGCUUGCUUCGGGAGCAAGAGGUUCGCGGUUCAAGUCCGCGCACCCCGA
Molecule: transfer RNA, 73 nt
Filed under: Elusimicrobiota bacterium
Lineage: Bacteria; Pseudomonadati; Elusimicrobiota
Description: Elusimicrobia bacterium (groundwater metagenome) tRNA-Pro
Rfam family: tRNA
About the family: Transfer RNA (tRNA) molecules are approximately 80 nucleotides in length.
Source: RNAcentral